GGUCAAGUGAAGAAGCGCAUACGGUGGAUGCCUUGGCAGUCAGAGGCGAUGAAAGACGUGGUAGCCUGCGAUAAGCUUUGGGGAGUCGGCAAACAGACUGUGAUCCAGAGAUCUCUGAAUGGGGGAACCCAGCCAGCAUAAGCUGGUUAUCUUGUACUGAAUACAUAGGUGCAAGAGGCGAACCAGGGGAACUGAAACAUCUAAGUACCCUGAGGAAAAGAAAUCAACCGAGAUUCCCUUAGUAGUGGCGAGCGAACGGGGACCAGCCCUUAAGCUGGUUUGAGAUUAGUGGAACGCUCUGGAAAGUGCGGCCAUAGUGGGUGAUAGCCCCGUACACGAAAAUCUCUUAUCAAUGAAAUCGAGUAGGACGGAGCACGAGAAACUUUGUCUGAAUAUGGGGGGACCAUCCUCCAAGGCUAAAUACUACUGACUGACCGAUAGUGAACCAGUACCGUGAGGGAAAGGCGAAAAGAACCCCGGAGAGGGGAGUGAAAUAGAACCUGAAACCGUAUGCGUACAAGCAGUGGGAGCCUACUUUGUUGGGUGACUGCGUACCUUUUGUAUAAUGGGUCAGCGACUUAUAUUCAGUGGCGAGCUUAACCGAAUAGGGGAGGCGUAGCGAAAGCGAGUCUUAAUAGGGCGUUUAGUCGCUGGGUAUAGACCCGAAACCGGGCGAUCUAUCCAUGGGCAGGUUGAAGGUUGGGUAACACUAACUGGAGGACCGAACCGACUACCGUUGAAAAGUUAGCGGAUGACCUGUGGAUCGGAGUGAAAGGCUAAUCAAGCUCGGAGAUAGCUGGUUCUCCUCGAAAGCUAUUUAGGUAGCGCCUCGUGUAUCACUGCUGGGGGUAGAGCACUGUUUCGGCUAGGGGGUCAUCCCGACUUACCAAACCGAUGCAAACUCCGAAUACCAGCAAGUGUCAGCACGGGAGACACACGGCGGGUGCUAACGUCCGUCGUGAAGAGGGAAACAACCCAGACCGCCAGCUAAGGUCCCAAAGUCAUGGUUAAGUGGGAAACGAUGUGGGAAGGCACAGACAGCCAGGAUGUUGGCUUAGAAGCAGCCAUCAUUUAAAGAAAGCGUAAUAGCUCACUGGUCGAGUCGGCCUGCGCGGAAGAUGUAACGGGGCUAAACCAUGCACCGAAGCUGCGGCAGCGACGCUUAUGCGUUGUUGGGUAGGGGAGCGUUCUGUAAGCCGUUGAAGGUGGCCUGUGAGGGUUGCUGGAGGUAUCAGAAGUGCGAAUGCUGACAUAAGUAACGAUAAAGCGGGUGAAAAGCCCGCUCGCCGGAAGACCAAGGGUUCCUGUCCAACGUUAAUCGGGGCAGGGUGAGUCGACCCCUAAGGCGAGGCCGAAAGGCGUAGUCGAUGGGAAACAGGUUAAUAUUCCUGUACUUGGUGUUACUGCGAAGGGGGGACGGAGAAGGCUAUGUUAGCCGGGCGACGGUUGUCCCGGUUUAAGCAUGUAGGCUGGUUAUCCAGGUAAAUCCGGAUAAUCAAGGCUGAGGUGUGAUGACGAGGUACUACGGUGCAGAAGUAACAAAUGCCUGCUUCCAGGAAAAGCCUCUAAGCAUCANNNNNNNNNNNNNNNNNNNNNNNNNNNNNNNNNNNNNNNNNNNNNNNNNNUGAAGAGGGAAACAACCCAGACCGCCAGCUAAGGUCCCAAAGUCAUGGUUAAGUGGGAAACGAUGUGGGAAGGCAUAGACAGCCAGGAUGUUGGCUUAGAAGCAGCCAUCAUUUAAAGAAAGCGUAAUAGCUCACUGGUCGAGUCGGCCUGCGCGGAAGAUGUAACGGGGCUAAACCAUGCACCGAAGCUGCGGCAGCGACGCUUAGGCGUUGUUGGGUAGGGGAGCGUUCUGUAAGCCGUUGAAGGUGGCCUGUGAGGGUUGCUGGAGGUAUCAGAAGUGCGAAUGCUGACAUAAGUAACGAUAAAGCGGGUGAAAAGCCCGCUCGCCGGAAGACCAAGGGUUCCUGUCCAACGUUAAUCGGGGCAGGGUGAGUCGACCCCUAAGGCGAGGCUGAAAAGCGUAGUCGAUGGGAAACAGGUUAAUAUUCCUGUACUUGGUGUUACUGCGAAGGGGGGACGGAGAAGGCUAGGCUGGCCGGGCGACGGUUGUCCCGGUUUAAGCGUGUAGGGGGUGUGACCUGGUAAAUCCGGUUGCAUAUCAACCCUGAGGCGUGAUGACGAUGCACUACGGUGCAGAAGUAGUUGAUGCCCUGCUUCCAGGAAAAUCCUCUAAGCUCCAGGUAACAUUAAAUCGUACCCCAAACCGACACAGGUGGUCAGGUAGAGAAUACCAAGGCGCUUGAGAGAACUCGGGUGAAGGAACUAGGCAAAAUGGUGCCGUAACUUCGGGAGAAGGCACGCUGGCAUGUAGGUGAAGUCCCUCGCGGAUGGAGCUGAAGCCAGUCGAAGAUACCAGCUGGCUGCAACUGUUUAAUAAAAACACAGCACUGUGCAAACACGAAAGUGGACGUAUACGGUGUGACGCCUGCCCGGUGCUGGAAGGUUAAUUGAUGGGGUCAGCCGCAAGGCGAAGCUCUUGAUCGAAGCCCCAGUAAACGGCGGCCGUAACUAUAACGGUCCUAAGGUAGCGAAAUUCCUUGUCGGGUAAGUUCCGACCUGCACGAAUGGCGUAAUGAUGGGGGCGCUGUCUCCACCCGAGGCUCAGUGAAAUCGAAAUCGCCGUGAAGAUGCGGUGUACCCGCGGCUAGACGGAAAGACCCCGUGAACCUUUACUGCAGCUUGACAUUGAACUUUGAUCUUACUUGUGUAGGAUAGGUGGGAGGCUUAGAAGUAGCGACGCCAGUUGCUAUGGAGCCAUCCUUGAAAUACCACCCUGGUAAUAUUGAGGUUCUAACUCUGUCCCGUUAUCCGGGACGAGGACCAUGUCUGGUGGGUAGUUUGACUGGGGCGGUCUCCUCCUAAAGAGUAACGGAGGAGUACGAAGGUGCGCUCAGCGUGGUCGGAAAUCACGCGUAGAGUAUAAAGGCANAAGCGCGCUUAACUGCGAGACCCACAAGUCGAGCAGGUACGAAAGUAGGUCUUAGUGAUCCGGUGGUCUGAAUGGAAGGGCCAUCGCUCACGGAUAAAAGGUACUCCGGGGAUAACAGGCUGAUACCGCCCAAGAGUUCAUAUCGACGGCGGUGUUUGGCACCUCGAUGUCGGCUCAUCACAUCCUGGGGCUGAAGUAGGUCCCAAGGGUAUGGCUGUUCGCCAUUUAAAGUGGUACGCGAGCUGGGUUUAGAACGUCGUGAGACAGUUCGGUCCCUAUCUGCCGUGGGCGUUGGAAGAUUGAGAGGGGUUGCUCCUAGUACGAGAGGACCGGAGUGAACGCACCACUGGUGUUCGGGUUGUCAUGCCAAUGGCAUUGCCCGGUAGCUAAGUGCGGAAAAGAUAAGCGCUGAAAGCAUCUAAGCGCGAAACUUGCCUCAAGAUGAGUCUUCCCUGGGCCUUUAAGGCCCCUGAAGGAACGUUUAAGACUAAGACGUUGAUAGGCUGGGUGUGUAAGUGCAGCGAUGCAUUGAGCUAACCAGUACUAAUGAUCCGUGAGGCUUAACCUU
Molecule: ribosomal RNA, 3563 nt
Filed under: Oryza sativa Indica Group (long-grained rice)
Lineage: Eukaryota; Viridiplantae; Streptophyta; Magnoliopsida; Poales; Poaceae
Description: Bacterial large subunit ribosomal RNA
Rfam family: Bacterial large subunit ribosomal RNA
Source: Rfam by way of RNAcentral